Papaver somniferum (opium poppy) is the source of this 1184-nucleotide long non-coding RNA. RefSeq lists it as uncharacterized. NCBI's taxonomy places the organism in Eukaryota, Viridiplantae, Streptophyta, Magnoliopsida, Ranunculales, Papaveraceae. The record is from RefSeq and is a predicted model, not a curated record. The transcript is spliced from 3 exons.
CAGAAAAGAAAAUUUAGACGAGAUGGACUUCAGAAUUAGAAAAAAAAAAUUCAUGAAAUUGAUGCUAUGGUGAUGAUUUCGAGUCGAUUUUAACAUGACCUAGGUAUUUAUUUUGAGGGAAAUCAAUCAAUUGAAGAUUGUUUCAAGAUGAUGGUGAUCUUUUGAACCGAUAUUUUGUACGAUUUGAUGCAGAUGAUGGUUUAUAGUUGAUUCUGGUGAUGAAAAAGUUAGUGGGUUUCUCUUUUUUGAUGAGUUAGAUGAUGGGGGGGGGGGAAGUGAAUCAGGAGAUAUUUGCAAAAUACCUUGGGGAGCUGCAUCGAAAGGAGAACACAAACGACCGGUACGUAGCUGCUUUAAAAGGAGAGACAUUGACAAGGAAUCCUUAGUUAGGAUUCAACCCAUACCAAAACCCCCUGCAGCACCAGCACCAGCACUAAAGUUACUGAUCAGAAGGAGCUUAAGUAGUUGGAAGGUUGAGUGCUAGUCAGCUGAAAGAAGUUGGAGGAACAACAAGGAUAUUCAGCAAUAGUCAUCAUUACGUUGAAAUUGUACGUGAUGAAUCCAGAGGUUUAGAGACGUAAUAUAGCAGAUAAAAAGAUGAGAGUUUGUUUGAAGGACUGAGUUGUGAAACGGUGUAUCAAAUACUAGUUUUUAUAUAAUUGAGAAUGAUUUUUUGACACAGACGAAGCGCUGGUCUGGUGGUGUAGUUGUUAGUGGGAUCCCUGCAGGUGGUGGCAUCGAUUCUCCAUCAAAUUUUCCAAAAAAAUUUUUGUUUUAAAAAUACCAGAUGGGCAGGUGGGUGGCAGGUUCACGUUCUUUCUAUUCUUUCUUUUACUGAACAAGAGGGACAGGUGUGAGGCUGACGUUCCUCCUUUUACUGAAAAGUCUGGCUAGUUCACGUGACAUCAAAAGUCAAGUGUCUGUAAGGUCAGACUUUCUUAUCAUGAUAAAAUUCAAACUUUGCCGCUUCAUUUCAAGCUUUCCCUCCUAAAAAAGCUCCUCUCCCGCCAAAUAAAAAGCUCCUCAAAAAUAUAUUUAUUGUUUGGGGUAGUCAGUUUGUGUGAUAAUCCGUGUUAAUGAACAACGUCAUAUGGAUAUGGAUCAUACUUGUUAUUUAGCUGCGAUUUUGUGUCUUUUAAGUAUCAAAAUUAAAUUCAUUUAUGAUAAUUUUUGUCGAAGGGUAA